CAAUGGUAAAGGUAGAGCCUGGCGCAUAGAUACUCGUCGCCUGCUUACGGAUGGUACGCAGCCAGUAAAAACCGUC
This 76-nucleotide transfer RNA is filed under the name Salmonella sp. FORC89. RNAcentral describes it as "tRNA-Val". Lineage: Bacteria; Pseudomonadati; Pseudomonadota; Gammaproteobacteria; Enterobacterales; Enterobacteriaceae. The record is from RNAcentral.